UACGGAGGGGGCUAGCGUUAUUCGGAAUUACUGGGCGUAAAGCGCACGUAGGCGGAUCGGAAAGUCAGAGGUGAAAUCCCAGGGCUCAACCUUAGAACUGCCUUUGAAACUCCCAGUCUUGAGGUCGAGAGAGGUGAGUGGAAUUCCGAGUGUAGAGGUGAAAUUCGUAGAUAUUCGGAGGAACACCAGUGGCGAAGGCGGCUCACUGGCUCGAUACUGACGCUGAGGUGCGAAAGCGUGGGGAGCAAACAGG
Molecule: ribosomal RNA, 253 nt
Filed under: uncultured bacterium
Lineage: Bacteria
Description: partial 16S ribosomal RNA
Rfam family: Bacterial small subunit ribosomal RNA
Source: RNAcentral